RNAcentral lists this ribosomal RNA (497 nucleotides) under uncultured bacterium. RNAcentral describes it as "partial 16S ribosomal RNA". It matches the Rfam family "Bacterial small subunit ribosomal RNA", at positions 28 to 507 of the family's 1533-position model. The record is from RNAcentral.
GAUGAACGCUGGCGGCGUGCCUAAUACAUGCAAGUCGAGCGAACAGACGAGGAGCUUGCUCCUCUGACGUUAGCGGCGGACGGGUGAGUAACACGUGGAUAACCUACCUAUAAGACUGGGAUAACUUCGGGAAACCGGAGCUGAUACUGGAUAAUAUAUUGAACCGCAUGGUUCAAUAGUGAAAGACGGCUUUGCUGUCACUUAUAGAUGGAUCCGCGCCGCAUUAGCUAGUUGGUAAGGUAACGGCUUACCAAGGCAACGAUACGUAGCCGACCUGAGAGGGUGAUCGGCCACACUGGAACUGAGACACGGUCCAGACUCCUACGGGAGGCAGCAGUAGGGAAUCUUCCGCAAUGGGCGAAAGCUUGACGGAGCAACGCCGCGUGAGUGAUGAAGGUCUUCGGAUCGUAAAACUCUGUUAUUAGGGAAGAACAAAUGUGUAAGUAACUAUGCACGUCUUGACGGUACCUAAUCAGAAAGCCACGGCUAACUACGUG